Molecule: long non-coding RNA, 1691 nt
Filed under: Equus asinus (donkey)
Lineage: Eukaryota; Metazoa; Chordata; Mammalia; Perissodactyla; Equidae
Description: lncRNA (ENSEASG00005031897.1)
Source: RNAcentral
AAAACAAACAAACAAAAAGAUUGAAAAGCUCUGGACUAGAUAAAUGCUCUCCAAGAUUUCUUCCAGCUCCGGAAUUCUCUGACUCUGUGGGAAACGCAGCCUAUCCCCCUGCUCCCAGCAGCUGCGGCUCUGGCAGAAAGACAAGGAAGUUCGUUCUUGGAGCCUCUCCAGGCCUUUCCUGCUGCACUUGGAGUCCUUGUCCCGAGGGGAGGCAGGGACAGAUAAAGCGCCAGUGUGCAGAGUUCUGGGGGAGGGGGAGGAAGACAGGUGCCCUGAAGAUGUGAGCUUUGGAAGAAAGGAAAGAGAAGCGGAUAGAACCAAAGGCCCCAGUUCCUGUCUCUCACCCGUCACUCCACCACCAGGAUAACUGGUCCCGCCUCCUCGGCAGCACUUAGGACAUUCCCACACAGGGCUGGUCACGGUGCCGCCUCACAGCUCCCUGGUGCAUUGUCUUCGCUGCACUACCCCGAUUUGAAAGUAUAUUGUUCAUUUGCGUGUUUAUUAGCCUACUAGAAUGCAAGUUCCACGAGGGCGGUGCCUUGCCUCUCUUCCUCACCCCUAUAUCCCCGGACACAGGACUCAGCACAAGGUGGGAGCUCAAUAAUUGCUUUCAUGCGUAACCUCUACCUCCAAGCAGCGAUAAAGCUCCAAGCACCGAGCCCAUGAAUGAAUGGUAGUCACCUCAGAAGAAACCAGCAGAGUAGACCCAGCGAAACCUUGGAAAUCAAGCAGAACUCGGUCCCAGCUCCCCGCUCGCUUGUGGCUUCAGUCAAGAUUUUCUUUAACCUCUCUGGAGCUGUUUUCUUCCUCUGUAAAACAGGGAACCUAAUCUCUACUUAAAGGCAUGCUAUAGAAGUCAUGGCACACAGCAGCUGGACAGCAAAUCAUCUUUAUCAUGGAAUCAGAGCAAAGGUGGUGAAACAAAGUGUCACAGGGGAGAUUCCCACCGACCACCCAAGCCCCCAGGACCUGGAAAAGCCCAAUGAACAAGUUCAUUUCGCUAGUGGCCUCCAUCUCCUCCCUCCACACACAAGAAAUGACCCAGUCUCCCUUGAACCAAACCUUCUUUUGUUGUCCCAUUAUUUCAGGCAAUCCAGAUCUUCUGGGAAAGGCUUAAUUGCAAGCAACCAAUCAGAUCAUCUUCUGUAACACAGGCAUUUAUGUUUGCUCUGAAUUUAUAUUUUCGUCCACCUAAAAGGUCAUUCUUUUCAAUAAAGAUAAUUUAUUAAAUCUACCGGGAAGUGGGGCUGAAUUUUAAUACUUUGUGAGCCUUUCCAUUUACGUAAAUUCAUGAAUCAGGGCAACAAUCGUCCUUAUGCUGUGUGGCCUAGUUGUGAUUCAGAAAACAUGAGACCCCUCUCUGGCCCUGCACACACACAUAAGGGAUUGAACACAUAUGUUUCAUGCUCUUCACCGUCUUUCUGAUGCCUGCUCCCUCCUCAGUCAGCCGUGGCACCUGGAAUCGUGGUUCCUGAGACCAAGCAUGGUCUUUGGGUGCAGAGACUCAAGCUCGAGUUCAAAUUCUCGCUCUGGUCAUCUUAGCUGACCCCAGGACCUUUGCACUUGCUGUUCUCUCUGCCUAGACACCUUUUCUACAAGAGGCACCUUCUCAACUUAAAUGUCAGCUCCUCAAAGAGGCCUGCCCAAUCCACUCUAAACAUGACCUCCACUGUCCUCACACCUGCCCAUUU